Molecule: ribosomal RNA, 489 nt
Filed under: uncultured bacterium
Lineage: Bacteria
Description: partial 16S ribosomal RNA
Rfam family: Bacterial small subunit ribosomal RNA
Source: RNAcentral
GAUGAACGCUAGCUACAGGCUUAACACAUGCAAGUCGAGGGGCAGCAUGGUCUUAGCUUGCUAAGGCCGAUGGCGACCGGCGCACGGGUGAGUAACACGUAUCCAACCUGCCGUCUACUCUUGGACAGCCUUCUGAAAGGAAGAUUAAUACAAGAUGGCAUCAUGAGUCCGCAUGUUCACAUGAUUAAAGGUAUUCCGGUAGACGAUGGGGAUGCGUUCCAUUAGAUAGUAGGCGGGGUAACGGCCCACCUAGUCUUCGAUGGAUAGGGGUUCUGAGAGGAAGGUCCCCCACAUUGGAACUGAGACACGGUACAAACUCCUACGGGAGGCAGCAGUGAGGAAUAUUGGUCAAUGGGCGCAGGCCUGAACCAGCCAAGUAGCGUGAAGGAUGACUGCACUAUGGGUUGUAAACUUCUUUUAUAAAGGAAUAAAGUCGGGUAUGUAUACCCGUUUGCAUGUACUUUAUGAAUAAGGAUCGGCUAACUCCGU